RNAcentral lists this non-coding RNA (221 nucleotides) under Rhizobiales bacterium GAS113. Lineage: Bacteria; Pseudomonadati; Pseudomonadota; Alphaproteobacteria; Hyphomicrobiales. The record is from RNAcentral.
CAAGUCUGGUCCGUCCAAAGCCAAGCGAGCAGGGCGGGAGCGAGUCUUGCGGGCGUCGCGGCGAAGCGGGGUCCGAAGCGUAGACAGCGGUCGAACGGGGUGUGAGAUUGACUCCCGAAAUAGGCAUGUUGCGGAGGCAGAGCUGGCGCCCGCACCGGCGAAAGCAGCACAUUCGGUCUCGCCAUGCGAGAGGCCGGAUGCUCCGUCGGGGGCUAAGGACA